This 253-nucleotide ribosomal RNA is filed under the name uncultured bacterium. RNAcentral's name for it is "partial 16S ribosomal RNA". It matches the Rfam family "Bacterial small subunit ribosomal RNA", at positions 524 to 776 of the family's 1533-position model. The record is from RNAcentral.
UACGUAGGGGGCUAGCGUUGUCCGGAAUCAUUGGGCGUAAAGAGCGUGUAGGCGGCCCGGUAAGUCCGCUGUGAAAGUCGGGGGCUCAACCCUCGAAUGCCGGUGGAUACUGUCGGGCUAGAGUGCGGAAGAGGCGAGUGGAAUUCCUGGUGUAGCGGUGAAAUGCGCAGAUAUCGGGAGGAACACCAAUGGCGAAGGCAGCUUGCUGGGACGGUACUGACGCUGAGGCGCGAAAGCGUGGGGAGCAAACAGG